RNAcentral lists this ribosomal RNA (253 nucleotides) under uncultured bacterium. Its description in RNAcentral is "partial 16S ribosomal RNA". It matches the Rfam family "Bacterial small subunit ribosomal RNA", at positions 524 to 776 of the family's 1533-position model. The record is from RNAcentral.
UACGAAGGCAGGUUGCGUUGUUCGGAAUUACUGGGCGUAAAGCGCACGUAGGCGGGCUGUUAAGUCAGGGGUGAAAUCCCGGGGCUCAACCUCGGAAUUGCCUCUGAUACUGGCAGCCUUGAGUUCGGGAGAGGUUGGUGGAAUUCCUAGUGUAGAGGUGAAAUUCGUAGAUAUUAGGAAGAACACAAGUGGCGAAGGCGGCCAACUGGACCGACACUGACGCUGAGGUGCGAAAGCGUGGGGAGCAAACAGG